This 201-nucleotide unclassified non-coding RNA is filed under the name uncultured fungus. RNAcentral's name for it is "sequence contains ITS1, 5.8S rRNA gene". The record is from RNAcentral. Lineage: Eukaryota; Fungi.
CUGAGUUAGGGUCCCCUGGGCCCGAACCUCCCAACCCUUUGAUUACCAAACUUUUGUUGCUUCGGCGGACCCGUCCCCCUCGGGGGACCGCCGGAGGGUUGCUGUAAUAGGCGUCCUCUGGCCCGCGUCCGCCGAUGGCCCCUCCUUUAAAAUUCUGAUCUCAAAAUAUGUCGUCUGAAUUCCACAAAGCAAAUAAAUGCA